This 1450-nucleotide ribosomal RNA is filed under the name metagenome. Its description in RNAcentral is "bacterial SSU rRNA". It matches the Rfam family "Bacterial small subunit ribosomal RNA". The record is from RNAcentral.
AGAGUUUGAUCGUGGCUCAGGAUGAACGCUAGCGGCGCGCCUAAUGCAUGCAAGUCGAGCGAUGAGGCCUCUUCGGAGGUACAUCAGCGGCAGACGGGUGAGUAACACGUGGGUGACCUGCCCUCAAGACGGGGAUAACUGAUGGAAACAGCAGCUAAUACCCGAUGCCCUUACCGUGUCGAAGUGGUAAGGAAAGCUCCGGUGCUUGAGGAGGGGCUCGCGGCCCAUCAGCUAGUUGGUGAGGUAAUGGCUCACCAAGGCGAAGACGGGUAGGGGGUGUGAGAGCAUGACCCCCCACAAUGGGACUGAGAUACGGCCCAUACUUCUACGGAAGGCAGCUGGGAAUCUUGCCCAAUGGACGAAAGUCUGAGGCAGCGACGCCGCGUGAGUGAUGACGGCCUUCGGGUUGUAAAACUCUUUUUGAGGGGAAGAGCGAGGACGGUACCCUCAGAAUAAGCGUCGGCUAACUACGUGCCAGCAGCCGCGGUAAGACGUAGGACGCAAGCGUUAUCCGGAUUUACUGGGCGUAAAGCGUCUGUAGGCGGACAGGUAAGUUGAACGUGAAAGCUCCGUGCUCAACGCGGAGAGGCCGUACAAUACUGCCUGACUAGAGGAGGUCAGAGGGGAGUGGAAUUUCCGGUGUAGCGGUAAAAUGCGCAGAUAUCGGAAGGAACACCAGUGGCGAAGGCGGCUCCCUGGGGCCCACCUGACGCUGAGAGACGAAAGCUAGGGGAGCGAACAGGAUUAGAGACCCUGGUAGUCCUAGCCCUAAACGCUGAAUGCUAGGUGUGGGGACGUAAAGUUUCCGUGCCGGAGCUAACGCGAUAAGCAUUCCGCCUGGAGUACGACCGCAAGGUUAAAACUCAAACGAAUUGACGGGACCCCGCACAAGCAGCGGAGCGUGUGGUUUAAUUCGAUUCUACACGAAGAACCUUACCUGGGUUUGACAUACAAGUGGUAGGAAGCCGAAAGGUGACUGACCCUUCGGGGAGCUUGUACAGGUGCUGCAUGGCUGUCGUCAGCUCGUGCCGUGAGGUGUCGGGUUAAGUCCCGUAACGAGCGCAACCCUUGCCCUUAGUUACAAGUGUCUAAGGGGACUGCCGGCGGGAAGCCGGAGGAAGGUGGGGAUGACGUCAAGUCAGCAUGCCCCUUAUGUCCAGGGCUACACACACGCUACAAUGGGCGGUACAGAGGGCAGCGAAGCCGCGAGGUGAAGCGAAUCCCACAAAGCCGUUCGUAGUUCGGAUAGCAGGCUGCAACUCGCCUGCUUGAAGCUGGAGUUGCUAGUAACCGCGCGUCAGCUAUAGUGCGGUGAAUACGUUCCCGGGGUUUGUACACACCGCCCGUCACGUCAUGGGAGUUGGUAACGCCUGAAGCCGAUAGCUUAACUCGCAAGAGGGGGCGUCGUCGAGGGCGGGACUGGCAACUGGGACGAAGUCGUAACAAGGUA